UCCAGUCUCUUGAACAAAGCGAGUCAUGAAUCUGAAUCUAGAAUCAAGGCUUGGGGACAGGCUACCUUGGCUGGGGGGUGCUGCAAAGUCACGGUGUGAGAGGAGGGGGUCAAGAGUCAAGGUCAUUAACAGAGAACAAUCAUGAGUUGUACUUUUUCUUGUUGUUCAACUCCCUUAUCGUGCAGACGGGAAAACUGAGGCCCAGAGACAGAAAGUGACUAGCGGGCCCUCCUCCCCCGGGUAGUACACCAGGCCCUUCUCCUGACGGUCAAGGUUGCUCCUCCUCCACCCGGAGUAGCCACCCAGGACACAAGGACUCAUCGGUGGAUGGCGGGGGCCUUUCCCCCACGACUAACCUUCAAGGAGCCCGUCUGGAGCCCCAAUUUUAAUGUCACAUGAGAAAAACCAACUUGUGGAGGCCCAAGAAACCUCUCAGGCCACCAGCUUUCAGUCUCUGAGUUGCUCCAUGAACAGAACCACGGAAACGCCAUUCGCCCCCCUGUGGGGGAGGAGAACAGGAGCUCAUGGUCUAAAUCAAAGGAAAAUGAUCAAGGCGCCCAAGUUGGAGGCAGACUCCUGUCGGCUGUCAAGCCGAGCAGGUCAACAUCUGCCAUACAGGUCCAGCAGACAGUGGACCAAAGGCGUGUGGAGGAACAGGCCCACGUCCUGAUAUUCCAUUCUGUGCAUGCAGGCGCCAGGAGCCUGGCACUGGGGGUGAGAAACGCGGUGAAGGGCUUCAGUUCCACGGCAGUUGUGCACAGGUGCUUUCAGUCACUGCAAGGAGCAAUGUUGUAGGACCAACUCCAGGCCAGCCACCUGCUCCUGCAAGGACCUUAUUUCCUGGACCAGGGAUCAAACCCACGCCCCCUGCAGUGGAAGCUUGGAGUCUUACCCACUGAACCACCAGGUAAGCACCCUCCCGCCUGAGUCUCUGCCUUUUGAUAGGAGAGUGGAAGACAUUAACCUUUAUUGUACUGUUGGUUUAUUUAGACUUACUUGGCCAUCUUAUUUUAAUUCAUCAUGAUUUCAUUGAUCAAAUUAUCUAUUUCAUUUUCCCCCCUCAACUGCUUUGAAAAUUAUGCCUUCUGUCUCUGUUUGCCUAGUGAAUAACUGUAUAUUUUCAACACACAUACUUAGUUUUCUAAUAAUGUUUAUUGUUUAACAGCAUCUCUGUUCCAGCCUGGUCUUUGUGAAAGCUGAUAAAUCCCCGAGGCAGGGAUUAGGGAGUGGGCGAGGGGCCGCACAAGGUGCCAGGCACUGUCUCUGUUUCCGUGUAUGACCUUUAUUUAUCCUUAGAGCUGCCUGGAAAGAAGGAUUCGUCCUUCCAUUCAUGGAUGAGUUAAGUGACGCUCAAGAGCCGAAGACGGGGGUCCAGGGCUUAUCAGCAAGUGGGUGGCCAAGCAGGAGUUCUAAGUCCUGGCUCUUUCUGCCAUUUUUUGUCUGUCUGUCUGUAUGGUUCACCACUUGUCUGUACUUCCUCAACAAAGAGCCAGUGAGCUGGAGUAUGAAGACAGAGUCAGAGUUGAGUGUGUGCAGGGGAGAGAGGGGAGAGCCCUCCGCAUGGUUGACUGGUGCCUGAUUCUUGCCAGUGGGUUCAGGGUGUCUGAGAGCCCCACUGAGCCCUGGCGGGGCACACCUUCCUGCCCACAUGCUCCAGGGAGGACCACUGUGCUGGUUCGGGGGGGUGGCUGCCUCUCUCUGCCACUCAUUCAUCAGAUGCUUGCUGAGCGCCUCUUGGUGGCAGUUCCUGGCAGGGGGAUGGUUCGGGGAUCAGAAGGCAUCCAGGCGAGGCGAGAGAGAGCCGUGCAGAGGAAACAGGGCCUGGAGAUUCUUUGUUCCUUAUUAUUAUGGCUAUACUUUGAAAAGGUGAUACAUGCAUGGAAGACAAUAUCUGAACUGUACAAAAGGCUAUAGAGUCAGCCUUCUCUCCACCCGUAGGAUGAUGUCGUUAUAUAAAAGGUAAAAUAUACGUGAGGAGGUAUAAAAAAUCCAGCGGUGCCUACCUUUGGCAUUAUCUGGAGCAUAUCCUUGUGGAAAGAGUCUAUACAAAUUCAAGCGCACGAUUCUGCACACUCCUUCGUGUUUUGGUGCUGCUGGGAGAAACCCACACCUGCCGCUGUGUGCCUGACCCUCAUCACUUCCUUUAUCCCGAAGGUCACCCUUGUUGGUCCGUAGAGAACAACCUUGGUUGAGGCCACAGACAUUCCAUGAAAGGCACUGUCCAUGAUGCCUGGGAGCUCGUGAGUGGGUUUACUGUGGGACAAACCCCUGAGUUUGGAAUUGUGCGUGUGAGUGGAGGAGGGUUCCAGUCCCAGCUGCCUUCAGAGGCGCGCGUUCUCCGAGGCGCGUGCCGCUGCCACCCCAGCCGUGACAGGCUUAGCGCACGUCGUCCCGGGGCGCCAUCAAACUGAAGACUGUCUUUUAAACACAGCAGCAGGAAGAGCCUCGAGACAGGCCCCAACCCGGCGGGGUGGGGAGCUCCUAGGUGGGCUGCAUGCUGAGCCUGGAGAAGCUGGUUACCCACCUCCCGGCCACCCACCCGCAUCGCCCCGCUUCAGAUAAGACUCGGGAAGAGCGGUCAGACUCCUUAAUUGAAGCCGCGCUACCAGAUAUGGUGGAGUGUUUUUCCUUUUAAUAGCUUCAGUGAGACAUAAUUAACAUACUAUACAAUUCUCCCUUUUAAAGUGUACGAGUCAAUGCUUUUUCAGCACAUUCACAGAGUUUUACAAUCACUUUUGGAGUAUUUUCAUUACCCCAUAAAGAAAUCUUCAUCUACCCACCAGUCACCCACCCCCUCCCCUCAGCUGCCGCUGGCCGAUUUCUCUCUCUGUGGAUCUGUCCAUUCUGGACCUUUCGUGUAAGUGGAGCCCUGCAAUAGCUGGUCCUUUGUGACUGGCUUCUUCUACUUAGCAUCAUGUUUUCAGGGUUCGUCCAUAUAGCAGGGGUCCGUAUUGUAUUCUUUUUUUAUUAACAAGUAAAUAUUCAUUACUUUGU
Molecule: long non-coding RNA, 2994 nt
Organism: Bubalus bubalis (water buffalo)
Lineage: Eukaryota; Metazoa; Chordata; Mammalia; Artiodactyla; Bovidae
Exons: 5
Source: RefSeq, a predicted model, not a curated record